CGGCUUCGGGUUCCGGCUCAGGCUAGGGCCGAGGGGUCGGGCCGAGCUGCGAGCAGGCGCCCGUCCUAGCGGUUGUUUCAGUUCUAAUAGUGCCAGGCGGCCCCAGAUUAAAUAAAACAACUCCUUUGGGUAGAGUCUGUGGCUUCCCCGUAAAGUGUGGCUGGGGAUACAGCUGCAAAACAGGUUGACGCUGCCUCCCCUUUAUGAACCUUUUGACUUAAGCAAGAUAAAGGCCCAUUCGGUCAGCUGGGAAGAUUUGAAUGAUUUUUUGAUCCAAGCUUCUUCAACCAGCUCUUUAAAUCCUUCUUUGAAACACGAGUUACAACCUGCAGAAACAUUAUCGAUGGACAAAAUGUAUGCCAGGUGUAAGGGUCAUAUCACAGAGCAGCCUAUGCCAACGCUACACCACCCAUGGAUUUCCCCAUACCAGGAGAAUCUACAGCUAAAUGGUUAAGCCAGCUUUGGGACCCUUUGCACCACUGGAGGAGCUAUGUUUUUGCCAGUACAAUGCUAACAUUUGUUCAGCUCUGAUAUGUCUCACUGGUUUUUAAAAGUUAUAUAAGGAUUGUGAAUCAAGAAAGAAUGUACUUUGUGUUUAUUAUAGUAUUUUGUGUUAAUCCUGAACAAUUCUAUUCUUCCUGUCUUAUGGGAGUCCUCUGAU
Long non-coding RNA from Mauremys mutica (yellowpond turtle), 661 nucleotides. RefSeq lists it as uncharacterized. The transcript is spliced from 4 exons. NCBI's taxonomy places the organism in Eukaryota, Metazoa, Chordata, Testudines, Geoemydidae. The record is from RefSeq and is a predicted model, not a curated record.